This 468-nucleotide ribosomal RNA is filed under the name uncultured bacterium. RNAcentral's name for it is "partial 16S ribosomal RNA". It matches the Rfam family "Bacterial small subunit ribosomal RNA", at positions 28 to 507 of the family's 1533-position model. The record is from RNAcentral.
GACGAACGCUGGCGGCGUGCUUAACACAUGCAAGUCGAACGGAAAGGCCCUGCUUUUGUGGGGUGCUCGAGUGGCGAACGGGUGAGUAACACGUGAGUAACCUGCCCUUGACUUUGGGAUAACUUCAGGAAACUGGGGCUAAUACCGGAUAGGAGCUCCUGCUGCAUGGUGGGGGUUGGAAAGUUUCGGCGGUUGGGGAUGGACUCGCGGCUUAUCAGCUUGUUGGUGGGGUAGUGGCUUACCAAGGCUUUGACGGGUAGCCGGCCUGAGAGGGUGACCGGCCACAUUGGGACUGCGAUACGGCCCAGACUCCUACGGGAGGCAACAGUGGGGAAUAUUGCACAAUGGGCGGAAGCCUGAUGCAGCAACGCCGCGUGCGGGAUGACGGCCUUCGGGUUGUAAACCGCUUUCGCCUGUGACGAAGCGUGAGUGACGGUAAUGGGUAAAGAAGCACCGGCUAACUACGUG